GUAGGUGGCAAGCGUUGUCCGGAAUUAUUGGGCGUAAAGCGCGCGCAGGCGGUUCUUUAAGUCUGAUGUGAAAGCCCACGGGCCCAACCGUGGAGGGUCAUUGGAAACUGGAGAACUUGAGUACAGAAGAGGAAAGCGGAAUUCCACGUGUAGCGGUGAAAUGCGUAGAGAUGUGGAGGAACACCAGUGGCGAAGGCGGCUUUCUGGUCUGUAACUGACGCUGAGGCGCGAAAGCGUGGGGAGCAAACAGGAUUAGAUACCCUGGUAGUCCGCGCCGUAAACGAUGAGUGCUAAGUGUUAGGGGGUUUCCGCCCCUUAGUGCUGCAGCUAACGCAUUAAGCACUCCGCCUGGGGAGUACGGCCGCAAAGGCUG
Molecule: ribosomal RNA, 373 nt
Filed under: uncultured organism
Description: partial 16S ribosomal RNA
Rfam family: Bacterial small subunit ribosomal RNA
Source: RNAcentral